Molecule: ribosomal RNA, 446 nt
Filed under: uncultured bacterium
Lineage: Bacteria
Description: partial 16S ribosomal RNA
Rfam family: Bacterial small subunit ribosomal RNA
Source: RNAcentral
CCUACGGGUGGCAGCAGUCGAGAAUCAUUCACAAUGGGGGAAACCCUGAUGGUGCGACGCCGCGUGGGGGAAUGAAGGUCUUCGGAUUGUAAACCCCUGUCAUGUGGGAGCAAAUUAAAAAGAUAGUACCACAAGAGGAAGAGACGGCUAACUCUGUGCCAGCAGCCGCGGUACUACAGAGGUCUCAAGCGUUGUUCGGAAUCACUGGGCGUAAAGCGUGCGUAGGCUGUUUCGUAAGUCGUGUGUGAAAGGCGCGGGCUCAACCCGCGGCCGGCACAGGAUACGGCGAGACUAGAGUAAUGGAGGGGGAACCGGAAUUCUCGGUGUAGCAGUGAAAUGCGUAGAUAUCGAGAGGAACACUCGGGGCGAAGGCGGGUUCCUGGACAUUAACUGACGCUGAGGCACGAAGGCCAGGGGAGCGAAAGGGAUUAGAUACCCUAGUAGUC